This 500-nucleotide ribosomal RNA is filed under the name uncultured bacterium. RNAcentral describes it as "partial 16S ribosomal RNA". It matches the Rfam family "Bacterial small subunit ribosomal RNA", at positions 30 to 522 of the family's 1533-position model. The record is from RNAcentral.
AUUGAACGCUGGCGGCAGGCUUAACACAUGCAAGUCGAGCGGGGGAAGGUAGCUUGCUACCGGACCUAGCGGCGGACGGGUGAGUAAUUCUUAGGAAUCUGCCUAUUAGUGGGGGACAACAUCUCGAAAGGGAUGCUAAUACCGCAUACGUCCUACGGGAGAAAGCAGGGGCUCUUCGGACCUUGCGCUAAUAGAUGAGCCUAAGUCGGAUUAGCUAGUUGGUGGGGUAAAGGCCUACCAAGGCGACGAUCUGUAGCGGGUCUGAGAGGAUGAUCCGCUACACUGGGACUGAGACACGGCCCAGACUCCUACGGGAGGCAGCAGGGGGGAAUAUUGGACAAUGGGGGGAACCCUGAUCCAGCCAUGCCGCGUGUGUGAAGAAGGCCUUAUGGUUGUAAAGCACUUUAAGCGUGGAGGAGGCUACUUUAGUUAAUACCUAGAGAUAGUGGACGUUACUCGCAGAAUAAGCACCGGCUAACUCUGUGCCAGCCGCCGCGUAA